CGUGUAGGCGGUUUAAUAAGUCAGAUGUAAAGCCCCGGCUUAACCGGGGAUUGUCAUUUGAAACUGUUAGGCCUGAGUGCGAGAGAGGGUAGCGGAAUUCCCAGUGUAGCGGUGAAAUGCGUAGAUAUUGGGAAGAACACCAGUAGCGAAGGCGGCUACCUGGCUCGCAACUGACGCUAAGGCGCGAAAGCGUGGGGAGCAAACA
RNAcentral lists this ribosomal RNA (205 nucleotides) under uncultured bacterium. RNAcentral's name for it is "partial 16S ribosomal RNA". It matches the Rfam family "Bacterial small subunit ribosomal RNA", at positions 568 to 774 of the family's 1533-position model. The record is from RNAcentral.